Molecule: long non-coding RNA, 2264 nt
Organism: Silurus meridionalis
Lineage: Eukaryota; Metazoa; Chordata; Actinopteri; Siluriformes; Siluridae
Exons: 2
Source: RefSeq, a predicted model, not a curated record
GCACACACAGACAUAUUUUUCAUCUGUGCAGUGGACACACCCACACUCUCAAUGAGAAAUUGUUUAGGCGGGUGCCAGGAAGUUUCAGCAGGCACAUGGGCCUUUUGCAGGAAGGAGUAAAGGUAUACCUGCAUGCCGUAGAACUUACACGUCAAGCAUCAUGUCCUGUGACCCAUAAUGCAGAAUUUUCUCAUGUGGAAGUGGAUGAGCUGCUUCUAGAAGAUCUAGGUUCCACAAGAGACUGAGAGUUCUAAACUUUGAGACAUUCAACAACAUCUGUUAAUGGCCUCACUGCCUUUGGCAAUUGUACUGAUUGUUGCUCACGGUAUGCUCACCAGGCACAGGCAGAGACAUGAUUUUUGUCUUUGUGGUGCUAAUGAACUUGCCACAUGAUAAGAAGAGGUCAAUCACACUCUACAUUUCUUGGUUUGUAUUGGUAGGUAAAGCACAGGACUACAGUUUCUUUCACCUGAUUACCAUCUGUAUUUGACCCAGAUUAGUCAGGAAAUGUGAGAAAAGACUAUACUGGAGCAAACAUGUUAAAGAGAAGGUGUUAGAUUCCUCUCUAUUGUUUUAAAUUAACAAAAUUUGCAUUCUUGUCUGUAUUUUAAAAAGCUAAUGUCCAUUAAUUUAUUUAUUUUUACAGUCGGUAAAUCGUGGCUGUGUCAUGUUCCCGUAAUUUUAUUACAUGUCCACUCAUUUAUAAAAUCCACACACUGUUGCUCUGCUCAGUGACUUAAUUCUAACCCAAUUAGCUGCAACUCAUUAUUUUUAUAGCUUGCAAUGUUGUUUUUUAUUUUAAAAGAAAAAAUAUUCCGUCUGGAAAAAUAGUCCGUUCGGCAGUUCCGAAAUUGUUCUGAAAUUCCUCUGGCUACAAUUAAAUAACAGUACAAUUUAUUAUUGGAUACGUUAGAAUUAAAAUUGUAAUCUUUCAGAAUAUUGAGGAUCGUGUGCUUUGUGCUGAUAUGGAAAACUAAAAAACAGCAUUUCUUGGCAAACCUAUACAAAAUAUAUAUUUUAAAUUAUAAUAUAUAUUAUAUACUUAAAUAAAUGUUAAGAAAUUAUAUAUGAGGUGAUAUUGAAAGUUUUAAGACUAAUGGUGCUGUUUACCACAUCUGCAGUUAGAACAAAGAGCAAACAUGAAAUUCUGUGUGAAACUGGGCAAAUCUGCCACAGAGGCAUUUGAGAUGACAUAUGUUGAAAAUAGUGAUGUUGCAAUUAAUAGUUUGAGGUGUUUUGAGAGGUAUGUGUGCUCAAAAUCAUUAGAACAUCACUGGAAGACAACAAGAGAUCAGGAAGACCUUCUAUGAGGUCAACCCACGAAAUGUUGAAACUAUUCAGCAACUUGUGCAUGAUGAUCGUCGGAGAACAAUCCGCAUGAUGUCACUUCCGUACCCACCCUACUCGCCAUAUUUGGCUUUCUGAAAAAGCCAAUUUCGGUGUCGAAACUAUUCUUCCUGAUCUCUUUGUAUAGCAGUACAGAUUUACUGUCCUCUGAAAAUAACUCAUCACACAGCCAUUAUUAUCUCAAUUCUAUUUAAACAUGUUUUAUUAAAAUAAAUAAAUAAAUAAAUAAAAAAGGGGUGAAAUUAAAAUCUUCAACACAACAGACAUUUAUUCAUGAUUUCCUUUCUUUACUCAGAUAUAAAAAAAAAAAAAUUGAAUCAUUAAACAUUUGUUUUACUGAUACGGCAAGUAUCAAACCAAGAACCAAAAUCUGCCAUGAUGCACACAUCCGGCAAUUAAAACCGUCCGUGUGGAAACAUAGCAAAAGUUCUGCUUGGUGUCCUGAUGAUUUACGUAAUUUAAAAAAUCAUCAUUUAAAACAUUUACAAGAAUAAUUUAUUUGUUUUUAAUGUUAAUUCCCUGCAAAGUGCAAGCAUAGCUGGAAAACUAAGAGAAAAAAAAAUUAUUUCUUGUAUUAUUUCUUGUAAAAUGGUAAAUUGCUGUGAAUCUACAAAUUACAUUUUACUACACUGAUGAUUAUAUGCUUUAAAUAGAAAAUGUUAAUUACCUGCAUGGGAGCAAUUGUAUUGAUUAAUCAAAUUUAUUUAUUAAAAUUGAUUUAUUAAAUAUUCUGUUUUAGAAAUACUUUCUACACAGUGUAUAUGUAGGCAAAAUAAUGAACAAUAAAUUAAGAAUGAUAAGAAGUACAUUUACAGAAAUAUUUUCCAUUCUGGACCCACACUUAUACAAAUUACUCAAUAUGCAUGUGCACACCACAUUAUCAAUUUAAUAAUACACUCAAUCCCACUCCAAUCUUC